AUGCGAGCGGUAUGGUCAGCGGUGCAUGUACACUAGAUAGUGGCAAAUUGCAGCAUGCUGCUUAGGCCGCCCAUUGUGACCUUCUUGUGGGCGUGCUGGCAGCAUAUGGCAACAUGCUCGAUUGUGCGUCAAGAAUUCAGCAUAGCAAGUUUGUAUGAAGGUCUGGUUAUUAAAUGGGUAGAUAGUAAUAUCCUCUAAAACGCUCUGGUGACAAAUAAACUUUGCUGCCCUGUUUCCAAUUGUCCACAUGUAUGGGAGAACCUAUUCAAGUAGCUUGUAACUGGAGAUUCCUCUAAACGAUUGCCUACAGUUAAUUUGUAGGGCACUGCAAGGUUGUGUGACCAGGGCCAUCUGGGACUGCCUCCUGGAGGAAUUCAGGUGUGUGAAGGCUACCUGUGUUCUGCAUAACUUCAUGAGGAUGGACCAGGAGGGGAUUUGCAGCUCGCCGCCGUGUGCCAGAGAAGAAGUCUGCUGCUCUGCAGGAUGUUUCAAGGAUGGGGUCCAACAACGCAGCAAGAAAGGCCAUCUGUGUGCCUUGAGAUCUUCACCUACUUCUUCGAAGAGGGUGCUGUUCCCUGGCAACACCAGACUACACUAUGCAUAACCAAAGGCUCUUUUAAGAGCCAUUCACAUUGCAAUAAAAGUAUUCUUCCAUUUGCUUAGCUCUGUCAACUGCAGUUGAGGGUGCUGUUUAGGUAAGGGUGUAAUGUCUGUACAAAAACAAAACAGGCUAUUUUAAAUCACCCAUAUUGAAAAAAUGUAGGACAAUUAGACACCCUAUAACUCAUACCUAUACACUCAUGUAUCAAUCUGAUUGAUGGAUUGUGUUGUGCAGUAAGCAGACUCAGGUAUAUAACUGUGGAUCCUUCCACCUUCAAAUAAUUGGCAAGAGGGCCAACAAUGGAGAAUAGUUAUAUCAGCUGUGUCGGUGAACCCCUCCCGCAACUGAACUGGCUACAUAGAGGGCACAGCAUGAUCAGAGAUGUUUGGAUGAGAGGAUGCCAACCCCCAGUCCCAUCAUUGCCACCUCACCCGCUCUUAAGAUAACCUUCGGGCCGACUCGAGACACUUAUAUAAUUGUGAUGAACUGAGAGAAUAUUUGGGUAGCACUGAUUCAUUAAUCAUAUGCUGCCUUCUCUGCUCCUAUGUUCUUACCUCUUUCCCUUUGUCUUUUACACCUCUCGCAGCCUCCUCUUUCUUCCUCUGUUUUUAUAAUGCACAACAGAUGUGCGUUGAAGUACAGAUUUCACUUGUAUUUAUAAUAUUACAAUUAUAAUAUUUAUAAUGUAUGUAUUUAUAACACUUGGAUAAUAAACUUCUUUCAAUAAAGUA
Long non-coding RNA from Oncorhynchus gorbuscha (pink salmon), 1332 nucleotides. RefSeq lists it as uncharacterized. Lineage: Eukaryota; Metazoa; Chordata; Actinopteri; Salmoniformes; Salmonidae. The transcript is spliced from 4 exons. The record is from RefSeq and is a predicted model, not a curated record.